UCGAUUUGGAGUUUGUUGCCCUGAGUGAUGGGCUCCGAAGCUAACGCGAUAAAUCGACCGCCUGGGGAGUACGGCCGCAAGGUUAAAACUCAAAUGAAUUGACGGGGGCCCGCACAAGCGGUGGAGCAUGUGGUUUAAUUCGAUGCAACGCGAAGAACCUUACCUGGUCUUGACAUCCACAGAAUCUUGCAGAGAUGCGAGAGUGCCUUCGGGAACUGUGAGACAGGUGCUGCAUGGCUGUCGUCAGCUCGUGUUGUGAAAUGUUGGGUUAAGUCCCGCAACGAGCGCAACCCUUAUCCUUUGUUGCCAUCGGUUUGGCCGGGAACUCAAAGGAGACUGCCGUUGAUAAAGCGGAGGAAGGUGG
RNAcentral lists this ribosomal RNA (364 nucleotides) under uncultured Gammaproteobacteria bacterium. RNAcentral's name for it is "bacterial SSU rRNA". It matches the Rfam family "Bacterial small subunit ribosomal RNA", at positions 812 to 1176 of the family's 1533-position model. Lineage: Bacteria; Pseudomonadati; Pseudomonadota; Gammaproteobacteria. The record is from RNAcentral.